RNAcentral lists this ribosomal RNA (301 nucleotides) under uncultured bacterium. RNAcentral's name for it is "partial 16S ribosomal RNA". It matches the Rfam family "Bacterial small subunit ribosomal RNA", at positions 509 to 807 of the family's 1533-position model. The record is from RNAcentral.
CAGCAGCCGCGGUAAUACGUAGGUGGCAAGCGUUGUCCGGAAUUAUUGGGCGUAAAGGGCUCGCGGGCGGUUUCUUAAGUCUGAUGUGAAAGCCCCCGGCUCAACCGGGGAGGGUCAUUGGAAACUGGGAAACUUGAGUGCAGAAGAGGAGAGUGGAAUUCCACGUGUAGCGGUGAAAUGCGUAGAGAUGUGGAGGAACACCAGUGGCGAAGGCGACUCUCUGGUCUGUAACUGACGCUGAGGAGCGAAAGCGUGGGGAGCGAACAGGAUUAGAUACCCCUGUAGUCCCUGUCUCUUAUAC